GGACCCGACUGCUAUCGGAUUGGGAUUUAGCCAUGUUAGUUGUGCGUUCCUUGGCUACAGGGGACGCAGCAUACGGCUCAGUAACACGUAGUCAACCUGCCCUGGAGACGCGGACAAACCCGGGAAACUGGGGCCUAUCCGCGAUAGAUGACCUCAUCUGGAAGGAGAGGUCGUCCAAAAGGGUGCACGGGUAUGCUCUGUGCAAACCGCUCCAGGAUGGGACUGCGGCCGAUCAGGCUGUUGGCGGGGUAAUGGCCCACCAAACCUGUAACCGGUACGGGCUUUGAGAGAAGGAGCCCGGAGAUGGACACUGAGACAAGGGUCCAGGCCCUACGGGGCGCAUCAGGCGCGAAAACUUCGCAAUGCGCGAAAGCGUGACGAGGCUAGUCCGAGUGCUUCCUGCUAAAGGGAGCUUUUCUCGGCUGUAAAUAGGCCGGGGAAUAAGGGGAGGGCAAGUCUGGUGU
This 464-nucleotide ribosomal RNA is filed under the name uncultured archaeon. RNAcentral's name for it is "bacterial SSU rRNA". It matches the Rfam family "Archaeal small subunit ribosomal RNA", at positions 19 to 458 of the family's 1478-position model. The record is from RNAcentral.